Meriones unguiculatus (Mongolian gerbil) is the source of this 556-nucleotide long non-coding RNA. RefSeq lists it as uncharacterized. The transcript is spliced from 2 exons. NCBI's taxonomy places the organism in Eukaryota, Metazoa, Chordata, Mammalia, Rodentia, Muridae. The record is from RefSeq and is a predicted model, not a curated record.
GCUCUGCUACGGAACGAGAGAUGGGCCAAAGUACCCUUCGUGUUUCUCGUACCGUGGCUCCCUCUGGUGCGUUACAGAAUUAGGAUUGUUUGUUGUUUUUUUCUUUUUUACAAAUCCUUUCGAUGUCUCAUCUUGUUAGCUUCCUGUUGACAACACUGCUGGAUUGGGCCGAGCGUCACCGGAGGACACAUUUUGUCCCGAUGUUUUAAGCCGUUCUGAGUGUGGGCUGUUUCGCAAAUGCCACAGUGCUUGCAAUGCAACGUGUGUUAAGAAGCCCUUCCAGCCCGGUCAGCUCCUGGUUCUGACUGCAGCCGCUUCUAAAGGAACCUUAGAUCUGGACCCUGGAUUCCUCCCCGAGUCGCAGCAUUUUGCAGAAACUGGGAUCCCUGAGCAAAAGCCUGAGACAACUCUCCCCGACGAAAUCGCCAAGCCCGUCAGAGCUUCCGAUGGCCAGUCCCGUGGAUACAGUGACCCUUGGCACGCUCAAGAAUGCUUAUGGAUUUCUUGAUAAAACUGCUUCUUAGCUUUUCUAAUAAACGUUUGUUUCACCCUUAAA